This 301-nucleotide ribosomal RNA is filed under the name uncultured bacterium. RNAcentral describes it as "partial 16S ribosomal RNA". It matches the Rfam family "Bacterial small subunit ribosomal RNA", at positions 509 to 807 of the family's 1533-position model. The record is from RNAcentral.
CAGUCGCCGCGGGAAUACGAAGGUCCCGAGCGUUGUUCGGAAUCACUGGGCGUAAAGGGAGCGUAGGCGGCGUGGUAAGUCAGAUGUGAAAUCCCGGGGCUCAACCCCGGAACUGCAUCCGAUACUGCCAUGCUAGAGGAUUGGAGAGGUAGCUGGAAUUCUUGGUGUAGCAGUGAAAUGCGUGGAGAUGUGGAGGAAUACCGAUGGCGGAGGCAGCCCCCUGGGCCAAUACUGACGCUCAUGCACGAAAGCGUGGGGAGCAAAUGGGAUUAGAUACCCCAGUAGUCCCUGUCUCUUAUAC